Molecule: ribosomal RNA, 864 nt
Filed under: Acrocalymma sp.
Lineage: Eukaryota; Fungi; Ascomycota; Dothideomycetes; Pleosporales; Acrocalymmaceae
Description: partial large subunit ribosomal RNA
Rfam family: Eukaryotic large subunit ribosomal RNA
Source: RNAcentral
ACAGGGAUUGCCCUAGUAACGGCGAGUGAAGCGGCAACAGCUCAAAUUUGAAAUCUGAUCUCUUCGAGGUCCGAGUUGUAAUUUGUAGAGGGUGCUUUGGUGUUGGCUGCGGUCUAAGUUCCUUGGAACAGGACGUCAUAGAGGGUGAGAAUCCCGUCUGUGGUCGCAUGUCUUCACCGUGUAAAGCCCCUUCGACGAGUCGAGUUGUUUGGGAAUGCAGCUCUAAAUGGGAGGUAAAUUUCUUCUAAAGCUAAAUACUGGCCAGAGACCGAUAGCGCACAAGUAGAGUGAUCGAAAGAUGAAAAGCACUUUGGAAAGAGAGUCAAACAGCACGUGAAAUUGUUGAAAGGGAAGCGCUUGCAGCCAGACUUGCUUGCAGUUGCUCAUCCGGGCGUUCGCCCGGUGCACUCUUCUGUAGGCAGGCCAGCAUCAGUUUGGGCGGUUGGAUAAAGGCCUCUGUCAUGGAUCUUCUCCGGAAGACCUUAUAGGGGAGGCGUAAUGCAACCAGCCUGGACUGAGGUCCGCGCAUCUGCUAGGAUGCUGGCGUAAUGGCUGUAAGCGGCCCGUCUUGAAACACGGACCAAGGAGUCUAACAUCUAUGCGAGUGUUUGGGUGUCAAGCCCGAGCGCGUAAUGAAAGUGAACGGAGGUGGGAACCCUUGGGUGCACCAUCGACCGAUCCUGAUGUCUUCGGAUGGAUUUGAGUAAGAGCAUAGCUGUUGGGACCCGAAAGAUGGUGAACUAUGCUUGAAUAGGGUGAAGCCAGAGGAAACUCUGGUGGAGGCUCGCAGCGGUUCUGACGUGCAAAUCGAUCGUCAAAUUUGGGCAUAGGGGCGAAAGACUAAUCGAACUAUCUAGUAGCUGG